UUAAGCGACUAAGCGUACACGGUGGAUGCCCUGGCAGUCAGAGGCGAUGAAGGACGUGCUAAUCUGCGAAAAGCGUCGGUAAGGUGAUAUGAACCGUUAUAACCGGCGAUGUCCGAAUGGGGAAACCCAGUGCAAUUCGUUGCACUAUCGUUAACUGAAUACAUAGGUUAACGAGGCGAACCGGGGGAACUGAAACAUCUAAGUACCCCGAGGAAAAGAAAUCAACCGAGAUUCCCCCAGUAGCGGCGAGCGAACGGGGAGCAGCCCAGAGUCUGAAUCAGCUUGUGUGUUAGUGGAACGGUCUGGAAAGUCCGACGGUACAGGGUGAUAGUCCCGUACACCAAAAUGCACAGGCUGUGAACUCGAAGAGUAGGGCGGGACACGUGGUAUCCUGUCUGAAUAUGGGGGGACCAUCCUCCAAGGCUAAAUACUCCUGACUGACCGAUAGUGAACCAGUACCGUGAGGGAAAGGCGAAAAGAACCCCGGCGAGGGGAGUGAAAAAGAACCUGAAACCGUGUACGUACAAGCAGUGGGAGCRCCUUCGGGUGUGACUGCGUACCUUUUGUAUAAUGGGUCAGCGACUUAUAUUCUGUAGCAAGGUUAACCGUAUAGGGGAGCCGCAGGGAAACCGAGUCUUAACUGGGCGUUAAGUUGCAGGGUAUAGACCCGAAACCCGGUGAUCUAGCCAUGGGCAGGUUGAAGGUUGGGUAACACUAACUGGAGGACCGAACCGACUAAUGUUGAAAAAUUAGCGGAUGACUUGUGGCUGGGGGUGAAAGGCCAAUCAAACCGGGAGAUAGCUGGUUCUCCCCGAAAGCUAUUUAGGUAGCGCCUCGUGAAUUCAUCUUCGGGGGUAGAGCACUGUUUCGGCUAGGGGGUCAUCCCGACUUACCAACCCGAUGCAAACUACGAAUACCGAAGAAUGUUAUCACGGGAGACACACGGCGGGUGCUAACGUCCGUCGUGAAGAGGGAAACAACCCAGACCGCCAGCUAAGGKCCCAAAGUCAUGGUUAAGUGGGAAACGAUGUGGGAAGGCACAGACAGCCAGGAUGUUGGCUUAGAAGCAGCCAUCAUUUAAAGAAAGCGUAAUAGCUCACUGGUCGAGUCGGCCUGCGCGGAAGAUGUAACGGGGCUAAACCAUGCACCGAAGCUGCGGCAGCGACACUAUGUGUUGUUGGGUAGGGGAGCGUUCUGUAAGCCUGCGAAGGUGUGCUGUGAGGCAUGCUGGAGGUAUCAGAAGUGCGAAUGCUGACAUAAGUAACGAUAAAGCGGGUGAAAAGCCCGCUCGCCGGAAGACCAAGGGUUCCUGUCCAACGUUAAUCGGGGCAGGGUGAGUCGACCCCUAAGGCGAGGCCGAAAGGCGUAGUCGAUGGGAAACAGGUUAAUAUUCCUGUACUUGGUGUUACUGCGAAGGGGGGACGGAGAAGGCUAUGUUAGCCGGGCGACGGUUGUCCCGGUUUAAGCAUGUAGGCUGAUUGUCCAGGCAAAUCCGGAUAAUCAAGGCUGAGGUGUGAUGACGAGGCACUACGGUGCUGAAGUAACAAAUGCCCUGCUUCCAGGAAAAGCCUCUAAGCAUCAGGUAACAUCAAAUCGUACCCCAAACCGACACAGGUGGUCAGGUAGAGAAUACCAAGGCGCUUGAGAGAACUCGGGUGAAGGAACUAGGCAAAAUGGUGCCGUAACUUCGGGAGAAGGCACGCUGGUGUGUAGGUGAAGCCCCUGCGGGUGGAGCUGAGACCAGUCGAAGAUACCAGCUGGCUGCAACUGUUUAUUAAAAACACAGCACUGUGCAAACACGAAAGUGGACGUAUACGGUGUGACGCCUGCCCGGUGCCGGAAGGUUAAUUGAUGGGGUUAUCCGUAAGGAGAAGCUCUUGAUCGAAGCCCCGGUAAACGGCGGCCGUAACUAUAACGGUCCUAAGGUAGCGAAAUUCCUUGUCGGGUAAGUUCCGACCUGCACGAAUGGCGUAAUGAUGGCCAGGCUGUCUCCACCCGAGACUCAGUGAAAUUGAACUCGCUGUGAAGAUGCAGUGUACCCGCGGCAAGACGGAAAGACCCCGUGAACCUUUACUAUAGCUUGACACUGAACAUUGAGCCUUGAUGUGUAGGAUAGGUGGGAGGCUUUGAAGCGUGGACGCCAGUCUGCGUGGAGCCAACCUUGAAAUACCACCCUUUAAUGUUUGAUGUUCUAACGUUGGCCCCUUACCGGGGUUGCGGACAGUGUCUGGUGGGUAGUUUGACUGGGGCGGUCUCCUCCCAAAGCGUAACGGAGGAGCACGAAGGUUAGCUAAUCCUGGUCGGACAUCAGGAGGUUAGUGCAAUGGCAUAAGCUAGCUUGACUGCGAGCGUGACGGCGCGAGCAGGUGCGAAAGCAGGUCAUAGUGAUCCGGUGGUUCUGAAUGGAAGGGCCAUCGCUCAACGGAUAAAAGGUACUCCGGGGAUAACAGGCUGAUACCGCCCAAGAGUUCAUAUCGACGGCGGUGUUUGGCACCUCGAUGUCGGCUCAUCACAUCCUGGGGCUGAAGUAGGUCCCAAGGGUAUGGCUGUUCGCCAUUUAAAGUGGUACGCGAGCUGGGUUUAGAACGUCGUGAGACAGUUCGGUCCCUAUCUGCCGUGGGCGCUGGAGAAUUGAGGGGGGCUGCUCCUAGUACGAGAGGACCGGAGUGGACGCAUCACUGGUGUUCGGGUUGUCAUGCCAAUGGCACUGCCCGGUAGCUAAAUGCGGAAGAGAUAAGUGCUGAAAGCAUCUAAGCACGAAACUUGCCCCGAGAUGAGUUCUCCCUGAGACUUUAAGUCUCCUGAAGGAACGUUAAAGACGAUGACGUUGAUAGGCCGGGUGUGUAAGCGCAGCGAUGCGUUGAGCUAACCGGUACUAAUGAACCGUGAGGCUUAACCUU
RNAcentral lists this ribosomal RNA (2900 nucleotides) under Klebsiella pneumoniae. RNAcentral describes it as "bacterial LSU rRNA". It matches the Rfam family "Bacterial large subunit ribosomal RNA". Lineage: Bacteria; Pseudomonadati; Pseudomonadota; Gammaproteobacteria; Enterobacterales; Enterobacteriaceae. The record is from RNAcentral.